ACGCACGCUGGCGGCGUGCUUAACACAUGCCCGUCGAACGGAAAGGCCCUGCUUUUGUGGGGUGCUCGAGUGGCGAACGGGUGAGUAACACGUGAGUAACCUGCCCUUGACUUUGGGAUAACUUCAGGAAACUGGGGCUAAUACCGGAUAGGAGCUCCUGCUGCAUGGUGGGGGUUGGAAAGUUUCGGCGGUUGGGGAUGGACUCGCGGCUUAUCAGCUUGUUGGUGGGGGAGUGGCUUACCAAGGCUUUGACGGGUAGCCGGCCUGAGAGGGUGACCGGCCACAUUGGGACUGAGAUACGGCCCAGACUCCUACGGGAGGCAGCAGUGGGGAAUAUUGCACAAUGGGCGGAAGCCUGAUGCAGCAACGCCGCGUGCGGGAUGACGGCCUUCGGGUUGUAAACCGCUUUCGCCUGUGACGAAGCGUGAGUGACGGUAAUGGGUAAAGAAGCACCGGCUAACUACGUG
RNAcentral lists this ribosomal RNA (467 nucleotides) under uncultured bacterium. Its description in RNAcentral is "partial 16S ribosomal RNA". It matches the Rfam family "Bacterial small subunit ribosomal RNA", at positions 29 to 507 of the family's 1533-position model. The record is from RNAcentral.